This 250-nucleotide ribosomal RNA is filed under the name uncultured bacterium. Its description in RNAcentral is "partial 16S ribosomal RNA". It matches the Rfam family "Bacterial small subunit ribosomal RNA", at positions 524 to 772 of the family's 1533-position model. The record is from RNAcentral.
CACGUAGGGGGCGAGCGUUGUCCGGAUUUACUGGGCGUAAAGAGCGCGUAGGCGGCACGGUAAGCGGCAGGUGAAAUUCCGGUGGCUCAACCCCGGACCUGCUUGCCGAACUGCCGAGCUUGAGUGCGGGAGAGGGAAGCGGAAUUCCUGGUGUAGCGGUGAAAUGCAUAGAUAUCAGGAGGAACACCCGUGGCGAAGGCUGCUUCCUGGAACGCAACUGACGCUGAGGCGCGAAAGCUGGGGGAGCGAA